Molecule: unclassified non-coding RNA, 308 nt
Filed under: Hevea brasiliensis (rubber tree)
Lineage: Eukaryota; Viridiplantae; Streptophyta; Magnoliopsida; Malpighiales; Euphorbiaceae
Source: RNAcentral
UGAAGCUCAGGAGCUCAAAGAAACUAAUGAAAAGCUACUGGAAGAAAUAAAAAGUCUAAAGGUAGUCAUUUCCAAAGCAUAUUGAAGUGUAGUGGCAGCUUUUUUUUUUAAAGCAGUUUCUUUGCUGUACAAAAAUAUGAUAAACUGAUACCGAUUAGACUGUGAUUUAGUAUUAUUUUGUUCAAGUUGGUUGAUGCUUCAGGGUACUUACCAUGGAUAAGGUUAUUGUUAUGAGUACUAUCUUUUGAAGUUUUUUGGCCUUGCAACAGGCUGAGAAGAAUGAGCUUCGUGAAGAGAAACUCACACUG